This 66-nucleotide transfer RNA is filed under the name Ceromasia rubrifrons. RNAcentral describes it as "tRNA-Ile". Lineage: Eukaryota; Metazoa; Arthropoda; Insecta; Diptera; Tachinidae. The record is from RNAcentral.
AAUGAAUUGCCUGACUAAAAGGGUUAUCUUGAUAGGAUAAAUUAUAUAAUGUAAAUUAAAUUAUAU